UUUCUUCGAUCUGGGUUCUCUAGAGAAUCCCAUCGAUUUUCACGCCGGAAGUUUAAAAGAAGAAGAAGAAGAAGAGAGAUUGCGGUUUUGGGUGGUUUCGAUCAUUUUUGGGGGUUUCUUUUUUAAAAAUUCAGUUCCUUUUGAGCAGUUUUGGGCUGAUAAAUCAGCUUUGGGAGCAUUUUCCCUUCUCGUUUUGGUCGUCUUUUUAUCAAUUUUGGGCUUUUUGUUCAAUUCAAGUUGUCUUUGUAAUGGUGUUUUUUUCUAUCAUUUAAGUGGUUUGAGGAGUUGGGUGUCUGGUUUUAGACAUGGGUGCUGCUUCUGCUCAGUGCCCAUCUGGAAUUAAGGCUCUGAUUCAGGGAGGAUUUACUGUUUUACCCCCCAAGUUGGAGUUCUUUAAGCUUUCUUACAACCCAAGAGGAGAAUCUCUGAAAUUGGGUUUCUGCCCAAGUUCCGAUUCCGUUAGUUCUUCCAAGGGGUCCCAGACGCGAGUUAGUGCUCUACCUGAUAUCGACGAUUUCUUCUGGGAAAAAGAUCCAACACCAUUGCUGGAUAUGGUAAAAAAUCCAAUUCAUUUGAAGAACUUAUCUCCCAAGGAACUGAAACAGUUAGCUGAUGAAAUCCGUUCUGAGAUCAACUUUUCUAUGUCAAGAACACGGAGACCCUUUAAAGCCAGUCUUGGGGUGGUGGAGCUGACCGUUGCAAUACAUUACGUUUUCCAUGCCCCAAUGGACAAGAUACUGUGGGAUGUUGGUGAACAGACAUACGCACAUAAGAUUCUCACUGGAAGGCGAUCUCUUAUGCAUACACUAAGGCAAAAGAACGGUCUCUCAGGUUUUACAUCUCGCUCUGAGAGUGAAUAUGACGCAUUUGGUGCUGGGCAUGGAUGCAAUAGUGUCUCUGCUGGACUUGGUAUGGCGGUUGCACGUGACCUGAAAGGGAAGAAGGACCGCAUCGUUACUGUGAUCGGUAAUGGGACGACUAUGGCUGGUCAGGUCUAUGAAGCGAUGAGCAAUGCGGGGUAUCUAGAUUCCAAUAUGGUUGUGAUUUUGAAUGAUAGCCGACACUCUUUACAGCCAAAGCCAGAAGAAGGCUCAAAAAUGGCGAUCAAUGCUCUAUCCAGCACUCUAAGCAGGCUCCAGUCCAGCAAAUCCUUCCGGCAGUUACGAGAAGCUGCCAAGGGUGUUACUAAGAGAAUUGGUAGAGGGAUGCAUGAGUUGGCGGCCAAAGUUGAUGAGUAUGCACGUGGUAUGAUUGGCCCGUUGGGAUCGACUCUGUUCGAAGAACUUGGUUUGUAUUACAUUGGCCCUGUCGAUGGACACAACAUUGAUGACCUCAUCUGCAUACUCCAAGAAGUUGCAUCUUUGGAUUCUUCUGGGCCCGUGUUAGUUCAUGUUAUUACAGAGGAGGGCGAUGGUUCAGAAGAAGGCCACAAAAAUGGGAUGACAGUCAAACACCAAGGUUUGUCUCCUUCAUACUCAAGCCUUUUGAGCAGCAGCCUCUCUCGGACAUACAGCGAUUGCUUUGUUGAGGCUUUAGUUGCGGAAGCAGAGAGAGAUAAAGAUAUCGUGGCCGUUCAUGCAGAUAUGGGAAUGGAUCCAUCACUCCAACUUUUUCAGGAAAGAUUUCCAGAGAAAUAUUUCGAUGUUGGGAUGGCUGAGCAGCAUGCUGUAACUUUUGCUGCUGGUUUGUCAUGUGGGGGUUUGAAACCUUUCUGUAUCAUUCCAUCUACGUUUCUGCAGAGAGCAUAUGACCAGGUUGUGCAAGAUGUGGAUCUGCAGAGUAUACCAGUGCGGUUCGCUAUCACGAGUGCAGGACUUGUUGGUUCUGAUGGCCCUACACAUUGUGGAGCAUUUGACAUAACAUUCAUGUCAUGCUUGCCAAACAUGAUAGCCAUGGCACCAUCAGAUGAGGAUGAGCUUGUUCACAUGGUAGCCACUGCUGCGUGCAUCAAUGACAGGCCUGUUUGCUUCCGGUAUCCAAGAGGUGCUAUUGUUGGGAUGAACAUCCCUUUAUGCAAUGGGUUACCCCUUGAGAUCGGAAAGGGGAGAAUUCUUGCAGAGGGCAAGAAUGUGGCUUUGCUUGGAUAUGGAGUGAUGGUUCAGAACUGCCUCAAGGCUCGCUCUCUUCUUGCCAACCUUGGCAUUCAGGUGACAGUCGCUGAUGCAAGGUUCUGUAAGCCACUUGACAUCGAACUUGUCAGGCAGCUAUGCAAAGAACAUGAGUUUCUGAUCACGGUUGAGGAAGGCACCAUCGGAGGAUUUGGAUCCCAUGUUGCACAGUUCAUUUCACUUGACGGACAACUUGAUGGAAGAGUUAAGUGGCGGCCCAUUGUAUUACCCGACAAUUACAUAGAGCAAGCAUCACCAAAGGAGCAGCUUGCUCUUGCAGGCCUUACUGGACAUCACAUUGCAGCCACAGCAUUGAGUCUGCUAGGACGCACCCGGGAUGCCCUUCUUUUAAUGCGCUAAAAGAUCUCUGCAAAUGCUACCAAUCAAAAGAAGCCCAAAGAGCUGAGCCCCAUAUCUCUGCCUCCAUGUUCAUAUGAGCACUGCUGGAUUCUUCCUCUCAUCCCAUUUCCUGCCUAUAUUUAUAGGAAAGAGAAAUGGCUUCCGAUUCAGAUCUUAAAUGCCUGUCUGAUGUGCAAUGCAAACAGGUUGGUUCGGACGAACGAGCCAGAUGUGGGCCCCACUGUGGUUUGAACAGAUUGCAUGUAGACCUCAUCCUCCUUACCGGCGUUGAACGAGAAUUUUUUUAUUAUUAUUGAUGAAUGUCAAGUGAUGAAUGUGGAUUGGCCUUUCCUGCAAUUCUAUACAGGUGUUAUGUAGCAUAUAAAGAAUUACCUUUGACAUCA
RNA transcript from Magnolia sinica, 2851 nucleotides. It is a transcript of the gene named probable 1-deoxy-D-xylulose-5-phosphate synthase, chloroplastic, with no coding region annotated. Lineage: Eukaryota; Viridiplantae; Streptophyta; Magnoliopsida; Magnoliales; Magnoliaceae. The record is from RefSeq and is a predicted model, not a curated record. The transcript has 11 exons.